GCCGCCGACCGGGGCGGAGCCGCCCGGGCCUCCCCGUGAGCCCGGGAAGCCGAGGCGGGCAGGCCAGGCCGCGGCUUCCAGCUCCGGCCGUGAGACAUUUAAAAAUCUGGUAUCAUGAUGUGAAUUAAAAGGAAGGAAGGUGGAGAUUUCUGCAAUAAGAGGUGGAUCCGCUGCUUGGCAAAAAAAGCACAACCCAAAAGAUGUUUAUAAACCAACUGUUCUGAAAGCUGGUCUGCGCACUCUUCCUUUCCUAAAGGAUUGUCAGUUCUUUUUCUGCUUUUUCAUCCUUCAAGGUACAGGGUAGUAUUUUCCCGGGACUGGAACAUCUGUCUGCGGUUGAGUGCAAAAUGCCCUUCUAGUGACAGCACGUGAAUUUGCUUCCAAGUAAACCAAGGCUUAAACCAGUACGUGAACUUUGGGGUCAAAGAAUGUAAUGGGGUGGGAUGGAAAACUAAGAGAGGAGGUUUUCUAUUAAGUGCCUUGAGAUGUGAAUUCACAAAUAUUUCAGCUGGAUUAAAUUCCUUGUUAAGGACUAACCUCUGAAAGCAUCUACUUUCUGCAACAUCUGCUGUGGAAAGGAGACUUGGGCACUGGAGCUGUAACUACCCUCUCGCUAGCUUGAGAGAGAAACAGAUGGAGUCUCAGGGAAGAUGUAGUAUUGAAAAUCACUGUGAUUUGGACCUCACUUGUAGUUCUUUAAUUUCCCCCAAGAGAAAAUUGUCAGAUUGGAGCACAGGCAUAAUAUAUUUCUGCCUUUGUGUGUAUGUGCCUUACUGAGUCAGAAUCUGGCCUCGAUCACUUCCUAUGCUCCGGUGACCUCUCUGCAUGAACCUCCUCAGCUGUGAGACCUGCCAUCCUAGUGGGAGCUGCAGAGGUCUGCGAUGAAUUCAUUCUCACCCCUGCUUCAAGCCCAGCGUGGAGCUGUGCUGCCCGGGAGGAGCUCCAGACACAAACCGUGACCCACAAACACUCGUCAGCUGCGGUUCCGUGGAAGAUGCUGGCUUCCACGGGGAGGGAAGGCUGCUGUACUGGUUUAACACCAGAGGCAAUAAAUCUGUGUAAUCACGAACAGGCAGGAGCCGUCGUUGCACCUAUUUUAUUGUCUUCUCUGUACUUUCCGAUGGAUGGGAGCAUCUGGGGGUAGAGGAACUGCAGUGCUCUCCUCGCCGCGUGGAGCAUGGUGUCCAAAGGACCGCUGGUGGAAAAGUCUUGUGGUAGCUUUGGGAUGGAUCGCAAGAAAGGCCAAGAUGAAAAAUUUCACAAUAAAAAUAAUCAAGUUCAUUACAGGGUCUGAGCCCAGAAAACUUCUAAUAAUAACUAAAAGUUUUGGAGGGAACUCAUAAAAAUUACUUAGGAGGACUAGUAAGAUCUGCACUCUUAUCCUUAACUUGUACAAGGAAAAAGUAUUAAGCAUUCUACUUUUUUUUUGUUACAUUUUUGUUCUGUUGCGCAUACUCAGGAGACCCCUUUAUUUCAAAUUUAAAAUAGUCUAUGAAAAUCUGUAUUGACGUAAUAGCUUAUUAGGCUACAAGCAAAAUAUUCCCAGAACUAAUUUUUAAUUAAUAUAG
This is a long non-coding RNA of Harpia harpyja (harpy eagle), 1568 nucleotides long. RefSeq lists it as uncharacterized. The record is from RefSeq and is a predicted model, not a curated record. NCBI's taxonomy places the organism in Eukaryota, Metazoa, Chordata, Aves, Accipitriformes, Accipitridae. The transcript is spliced from 4 exons.